GUCCCUGUAGCGUAAUGAAUAGCGCAUUGGACGUCUAAUCCAAAGGUCGAGAGUUCUAAUCCCACCUGGGACG
This is a non-coding RNA of Trichonephila clavipes, 73 nucleotides long. The record is from the annotation of a GenBank genome assembly. NCBI's taxonomy places the organism in Eukaryota, Metazoa, Arthropoda, Arachnida, Araneae, Nephilidae.